GCCGCGGUAGCUCAGUGGAUAGAGCACCUGUUUACGGAGCAGGGUUGUCGGGGGUUCGAAUCCCUCUCGCGGUACAA
This 77-nucleotide transfer RNA is filed under the name Mycobacteroides abscessus. Its description in RNAcentral is "tRNA-Arg". It matches the Rfam family "tRNA". Rfam says of the family: Transfer RNA (tRNA) molecules are approximately 80 nucleotides in length. Their secondary structure includes four short double-helical elements and three loops (D, anti-codon, and T loops). The record is from RNAcentral. Lineage: Bacteria; Bacillati; Actinomycetota; Actinomycetes; Mycobacteriales; Mycobacteriaceae.